Rosa chinensis is the source of this 739-nucleotide long non-coding RNA. RefSeq lists it as uncharacterized. Lineage: Eukaryota; Viridiplantae; Streptophyta; Magnoliopsida; Rosales; Rosaceae. The transcript has 2 exons. The record is from RefSeq and is a predicted model, not a curated record.
UCAGUGUGUAUAGCGAAUUAAGGCGAUUAGAAACACAUCGCACACACAGAUAUGCGAUGGCUGUGGCUAAAUGAUGUAUUAAUUUAUAAUAGAAUUGUUGUAAAAUGUGUUGCGGCUGUCAUAAUAUCUAUAUCUUUGUAUUAGUUUAAUAAGUAGAGGUUGCAACAGCCACUUCCUCUGCUAUCUCAAUUUCUCACUUCUUCCUCUUAAGUUUGAGACUCAUCUUUUCUAUAGGGUUUUCGUUUUCCUCUCUAUGGCCUCUGCUGACAUCGAGUUUCGUUGCUUCGUCGGAGGGAUCGCCUGCGCCACCGACAACGAUGAGCUCGAAAGGAGAUCAUCGAAUCGAAGAUCAUCAAUGACCUUGAGACCGGAUUCGUCACCUUCAACAACAUAAAAGGUAGCAGCCGGGGAGGCGGUGGUUACGGUGGCCAUCGUGAAGGCGGAGGUGGUGGCGGUGGUGGCCUUCGUGAGGGUAGAGGCGGUGAUACAGCCGUGGUGGUGGUAGCUAUGGAAACGGUGGUGGAGGUGGUGGGCAGGACGAUGAAUCUGGAAAUUAUGACUAAAAGAUAGAUUUGACUCAAGAAAUUAUUACACUAAUUAUGACUCAACAAUUACCUAGCUUGUUUUGAAUUUCAAGAACUCUUCAUGCUUUCUAAGUUAACUCUAGCUAGAACAAUAUGAAUUGUAGUUUGUAUGAACAAUUAUAUUUUGGAAUGAAGAAUUUUCUUUCCUUUGUAUA